GAGCGAGACCCACGCCAACACGUGCCAGCAUGUCCUCCGGGAUGAUGGGGACACUGUUGGGACCGCCUCUGGCUAAAGAGGGAGGAAGGGAAUGGGCAACGGUAGGUCAGCAUGCCCCGAAUUAUCCGGGCUACACGCGGGCUACAAUGGUCAGGACAAUGGGUAUCGACACCGAGAGGUGGAGGCAAUCUCCUAAACCUGUCCUUAGUUCGGAUUGUGGGCUGCAACUCGCCCACAUGAAGCUGGAAUCCGUAGUAAUCGCGUUUCAAAAUAGCGCGGUGAAUAUGUCCCUGCUCCUU
This 299-nucleotide ribosomal RNA is filed under the name uncultured Methanolinea sp. RNAcentral describes it as "partial 16S ribosomal RNA". It matches the Rfam family "Archaeal small subunit ribosomal RNA", at positions 1043 to 1338 of the family's 1478-position model. The record is from RNAcentral. Lineage: Archaea; Methanobacteriati; Methanobacteriota; Methanomicrobia; Methanomicrobiales; Methanoregulaceae.